RNAcentral lists this ribosomal RNA (301 nucleotides) under uncultured bacterium. Its description in RNAcentral is "partial 16S ribosomal RNA". It matches the Rfam family "Bacterial small subunit ribosomal RNA", at positions 509 to 807 of the family's 1533-position model. The record is from RNAcentral.
CAGCCGCCGCGGGAAUGCGUAGGUGGCAAGCGUUGUCCGGAAUUAUUGGGCGUAAAGGGCUCGCAGGCGGUUUCUUAAGUCUGAUGUGAAAGCCCCCGGCUCAACCGGGGAGGGUCAUUGGAAACUGGGAAACUUGAGUGCAGAAGAGGAGAGUGGAAUUCCACGUGUAGCGGUGAAAUGCGUAGAGAUGUGGAGGAACACCAGUGGCGAAGGCGACUCUCUGGUCUGUAACUGACGCUGAGGAGCGAAAGCGUGGGGAGCGAACAGGAUUAGAUACCCCCGUAGUCCCUGUCUCUUAUAC